GGGGUUGUAGCUCAGUGGUGAGCGUUUGCCUCACAAGCAAUGGGUUCAAACCUCAGCACCA
RNAcentral lists this transfer RNA (61 nucleotides) under Ictidomys tridecemlineatus (thirteen-lined ground squirrel). RNAcentral's name for it is "Spermophilus tridecemlineatus (thirteen-lined ground squirrel) tRNA". It matches the Rfam family "tRNA". From Rfam's summary of the family: Transfer RNA (tRNA) molecules are approximately 80 nucleotides in length. Their secondary structure includes four short double-helical elements and three loops (D, anti-codon, and T loops). The record is from Rfam by way of RNAcentral. Lineage: Eukaryota; Metazoa; Chordata; Mammalia; Rodentia; Sciuridae.